AAUAGUCUCAUGUCACAUUAGCAUUUUCAUCUUGAAUUUCAGCAUUUUCAUCCUAAAAAAAUAAAAUCCAAAUUAAAAUUCUCAAAUUUAAGAUAAGAAUACUGAUGUGGCAUAAAACUAUU
RNAcentral lists this microRNA precursor (122 nucleotides) under Gossypium barbadense (sea-island cotton). Its description in RNAcentral is "MIR7504 microRNA precursor family". It matches the Rfam family "MIR7504 microRNA precursor family". RNAcentral also lists the same sequence under 2 other names. The record is from Rfam by way of RNAcentral. Lineage: Eukaryota; Viridiplantae; Streptophyta; Magnoliopsida; Malvales; Malvaceae.